RNAcentral lists this transfer RNA (74 nucleotides) under Odoribacter sp. OttesenSCG-928-G04. Its description in RNAcentral is "tRNA-Arg". It matches the Rfam family "tRNA". Rfam says of the family: Transfer RNA (tRNA) molecules are approximately 80 nucleotides in length. Their secondary structure includes four short double-helical elements and three loops (D, anti-codon, and T loops). Lineage: Bacteria; Pseudomonadati; Bacteroidota; Bacteroidia; Bacteroidales; Odoribacteraceae. The record is from RNAcentral.
GGUCCGGUAGCUCAGCUGGAUAGAGCAACGGCCUUCUAAGCCGUAGGUCGUGGGUUCGAAUCCCGCCCGGAUCA